RNAcentral lists this ribosomal RNA (478 nucleotides) under uncultured bacterium. Its description in RNAcentral is "partial 16S ribosomal RNA". It matches the Rfam family "Bacterial small subunit ribosomal RNA", at positions 28 to 523 of the family's 1533-position model. The record is from RNAcentral.
GACGAACGCUGGCGGCGUGCUUAACACAUGCAAGUCGAACGGUAAGGCCCUUCGGGGUACACGAGUGGCGAACGGGUGAGUAACACGUGGGUGAUCUGCCCUGCACUUCGGGAUAAGCCUGGGAAACUGGGUCUAAUACCGGAUAGGACCACUGCCUGCAUGGGUGGUGGUGGAAAGCUUUUGCGGUGUGGGAUGGGCCCGCGGCCUAUCAGCUUGUUGGUGGGGUGAUGGCCUACCAAGGCGACGACGGGUAGCCGGCCUGAGAGGGUGACCGGCCACACUGGGACUGAGAUACGGCGCAGCCUCCUACGGGAGGCAGCAGUGGGUAAUAGUGCACAAUGGGCGCAAGCCUGAUGCAGCGACGCCGCGUGAGGGAUGACGGCCUUCGGGUUGUAAACCUCUUUCAGCACCGACGAAGCGCAAGUGACGGUAGGUGCAGAAGAAGGACCGGCCAACUACGUGCCAGCCGCCGCCGUAA